AUCUACUUUAGUCAUCUCAUGCAAUUUUAGUUUAAGAUGUUGUCAUGUAAGCCAAGCUUUGCAUCAUGAAGGUGGUCUUUUGUAAAAGGUGCUAGUCAUGCUAUAUAGACUUUCGAUAGAACAAAAUAAUAAAGUAUUUUAGCUUGUAAAGAGUGUGCUAUUAAAAAUAUUUAUGAUAGGUUCAAUUUAUACUUUUUCAUUAAAUCAUUGAGAAGUUAUCUAUGGUUAAAAAAAUCUCUUUAUUCAUGAGAAUUGAAUAUUUUGGUGAUGGGCUUUUCUUUCUUAUUUAUUUUUAUUUUUUUACUUUUUGCCUUGUAACGUGAUAAGUAGUGUUGGACUUCGCUGUAUAGGAUAUCAGAUCAAACUAAAUUGAGAAUUUGUGCUGUACAUAGAUCUAUGUCCUUAAUAUCAGUGUUUUAAGAUGCAUCAUAGGCGCUAGGUAACUUGAGGGUACUGAAUCAAUGAUUUAAGAGCCAUGCCUAGGUAGGUAUACUGCUUCAUACCACCUUACCACGACCUGUCUUUUCAGCUCAUUACCUGCAACAUUUUGACCUGCAAUCAGGCUGUUUGCAUCAUGUCUCCUGUGUAGGCUGUCAUUUAUCAUCUUACGUCCUUCACUGUCCGUCUGCUCGCCCCAUCUUCUGUUUGUCAAUACAGGGUCUUUGACGGACUUUGUUGUUUGUUAUCUCGCUACUUCUUUGUUGGUUGGUUCAUUUAUGUUUUAUAGUUUUGUUCCUUAUUUCCUUUCACUCUUCUUGGAGUUCGUAUCUUUCAAACAUCCGUCUCUUUUCAUAUGUUCGAUAAAAAAUUCUAUUUCUUGUUUUAAAAAGAUCUCUGCCUUCUCAUGCCCCUAAUAACAUUAUAGCUCCCCAGUUCUAGCAGAUUGAAAUCCUCCACCACAUUCAUUAUUGAAGGCAUACAUCCAAAUCAGACUCCUGGCUUUGUAGUUUGGAAUCAUGACUCCUCUGGUAUUUUUCUGUGAAUUCAGCCAUCUGGACUCCUCACACAAGGCUUCAUAUCUAAAUUCUUCCCCAGCUAAACGAAUUUGUAAAGGACACAGCCACUUAAGGAGAUGCUUUAUAGUGGAGUCACUUAACAGCUAUUCUAUCAAAUAAUCAGGUGGUUGAAUCUUCAUGGAAGGAUGCAAAGAUUCAACCUUUGUAGCCUUAAUGAGCAUGCUGAGAAUGUGAUAGAAAUCUCCAAUCCAAAUUGAGUGUUGGAACAUUGACCAAAUCAACGGGACAUCUACCCAUAUUUUUAUUGCUUCGAAACCCUAAUUUUAUUUCAUACGUAUCUUAUUUUUAAACACCUAAUGCCCUCUCUAUAGAUUGUAAUGCAGUGGUCGUAAUAUUCU
Cucurbita maxima (winter squash) is the source of this 1354-nucleotide long non-coding RNA. RefSeq lists it as uncharacterized. The transcript has 2 exons. The record is from RefSeq and is a predicted model, not a curated record. Lineage: Eukaryota; Viridiplantae; Streptophyta; Magnoliopsida; Cucurbitales; Cucurbitaceae.